AAGAAAGAAGGAAGAGGAGAGAGAGAGCUCGAUGGUGAUUGAAGCAUCGCGAGGAAGAAGAAUGGCAGCGGUGAGUGAUGGCUGAGGUGGAACAAGGACGAUGAUGAUGGUGGUAAAGAGAGGCUCGACGGUGGUGGUGGAGUUGUUGCUGCCGCAGGAGCCACCGUUUGAGAGGUAGAGGUUGAAGUUGGGUUGGAGAUAAUGAUAUUUGAUGGCUAAUUUGUGUAGAGCAGUGGCAGGCAGCUUCAGGUUUGGUUUAAUUUUGUUUCUGGAUUGGUACUGGAUAUGAAUUGGCAUUUGAUUUAGCUGGUUGAAUUGGUUUUAUUUAUGGCUGUGUUUGGCUGAAUGAGCUUGAAAAUGUUUAUAGUUUAGGUGUUUGAUUGGUUUAGUAUGUGGUUUUCUUAUGGCUGAAAGUUGUGAAUUCAAAUUAGUUAAGUUUCCUAAUAUAGUUUCUAGCUUUCUCAAGGUCAAGAGACUCUCUUAAACUUACUAAUCUCUUAGUUACAACUUAUGUGAGAAAAAGAUUAUGUUCUUAUGAAAAUUGCAUAACAACCACAUGUCUAUCUCUAGUUUUUGUUCAAAUUUUAUGUUGUUCAAUAAAUAGUUUCAUUUACAACCUCUUUCUCAAGUGUAUUAUAAAUCAAUAUAUCAUUUAAAUGGUGAUCAAGCAUCUAAAAGCAUUAAAAUUGGUUAUAAACCCACAUGAAUCAAAACAAAUAUUAUUGAAUGAUAUUGAUCUAUAAUUAUCCAAUUCACAUAAAAGGUUACAUCUUUGUCCUACCUAACAAAAUUAGUUCAUAAUCACACAAGUAAAACAUAAAAUAUAAGUAAAUGAUGAGAGAAAAUUGUACAUUAUUGAAAAUGAAGUUAGAUUGUUGAUUCCAAAUUCUAAUCUUCUCUAACUAUCUUUCCUCUAAUUUGUAUUUCUAUUUUGUGUGUAUCUCUCACUCCUCCACUCUAUAUCUCAAGUUCGAAGUGAGUUCUCUUUUUAUAGAGUAAGGAAUGCAUUAUUUUUCAAAAUCUAGCAUGCAUGUGUUUGAGGAACAUGAGAUUGUGGAAAUCUUUGAUUUUCUGCAAAAGCUAAUUGUAGUGACAACUUGAUUAGCUAGUUAUAGUCCAAAGCAAGUGCAUCUUUAAGUUGUCAUUGAAUUUAUGCAUGUUUGAGCCUUUUAAAUGAUUUUACCUUCAAUGAAAUCUGAAAAUUACACAAAUAUAAUAUUUUAUUUGACUAACAAUAUUAGUUAAUAAUAAUAAGUUAAACUAGACAUUUUUAUUGAAUUUUAACAAAAUAAAUUCAUAAACUAUCAUAAAAGAUAUGAAAAUAUAACUCUAGUUAGAAAGUUAUCAAUGUGUGAGGAAGAAGAAUAAGACGAAGAAGUGUGCGUAGGCGUACAUAUAACAUGACUUGGUUGGACUUUUUUACUAAAAACAUUUGGUCACCAAGUAUUUCUGUAUUUUUUAUUGGUGUGAUAAUAUGGAGUAAACAUGAGUGAUGGAGAAGUUACUAAUCUGUUAUUAA
Arachis ipaensis is the source of this 1519-nucleotide non-coding RNA. Lineage: Eukaryota; Viridiplantae; Streptophyta; Magnoliopsida; Fabales; Fabaceae. The record is from RefSeq and is a predicted model, not a curated record.